Molecule: ribosomal RNA, 915 nt
Filed under: uncultured archaeon
Lineage: Archaea
Description: bacterial SSU rRNA
Rfam family: Archaeal small subunit ribosomal RNA
Source: RNAcentral
UUCCGGUUGAUCCUGCCGGACCUGACUGCUAUCGGAUUGAUACUAAGCCAUGCGAGUCUUUGUAGUAAUACAAGGCAGACGGCUCAGUAACACGUAGUCAAUCUACCCUAUGGACGGGGAUAACCUCGGGAAACUGAGAAUAAUACCCGACAGAUCAUUAUACCUGGAAUGGUUUAUGGUUCAAAUGAUUUUUCGCCGUAGGAUGGGACUGCGGUCUAUCAGCUUGUUGGUGAGGUAAUGGCCCACCAAGGCUAUAACAGAUACGGGCUCUGAGAGGAGAAGCCCGGAGAUGGGUACUGAGACACGGACCCAGGCACUAUGGGGCGCAGCAGGCGAGAAAACUUUGCAAUGUGCGAAAGCACGACAAGGUUAAUCCGAGUGUUUUCUGCUAAAGAAAUCUUUUGUUAGUUCUAAAACCACUAUCGAAUAAGGGGUGGGCAAGUUCUGGUGUCAGCCGCCGCGGUAAAACCAGCACCUCAAGUGGUCAGGAUGAUUAUUGGGCCUAAAGCAUCCGUAGCCGGCUAUGUUAGUUUUCGGUUAAAUCCAUGUGCUCAACACAUGGGCUGUCGAGAAUACUGCAUAGCUAGGGAGUGGGAGAGGUAGACGGUACUCGGUAGGAAGGGGUAAAAUCCUUUGAUCUAUCAAUGACCACCAGUGGCGAAGGCGGUCUACCAGAACACGUCCGACGGUGAGGGAUGAAAGCUGGGGGAGCAAACCGGAUUAGAUACCCGGGUAGUCCCAGCUGUAAACUAUGCAAACUCAGUGAUGCAUUGGCUUGUGGCCAGUGCAGUGCCGCAGAGAAGUCGUUAAGUUUGCCGCCUGGGAAGUACGUACGCAAGUAUGAACUUAAAGGAAUUGGCGGGGGAGCACACAAGGGUGAAGCCUGCGGUUCAUUGGAAUCACGCGGAAUCGUCG